UUUUUUGAAAUAUUUGAAAUAAUUUAAGCGUGAUAUUCCCCUAGCCUUUGAUAUGAAUUUCGACGAUAUGCAUCUGCCUCUCUUGAAUUUCAUAAGUGAGCAGAAACAAUUAACAUCAAUAGAAUUGUAUGGACCUGUUAUGGGAAACCUUGAUCGUUUAUUUGAAUCGGAACAUGUGUCAUCAAAUGUUGUGGAGUUAAGCAUUUUACAAUAUCAGUAUCGCAGAGAAUCAUCAUUGUACGGCAACGUGUGCAGCGUGCUCCGUUUUUUGGAACGUAGUCGAUCUCUAGAAAAACUUGUAAUAAAAGGAUACACUGAGUGGAAUCCACCGUAUCAAAGCCACCUAGAAUUCCCAGGACAUUUGGAUGCAAUUGCAUCACAUAAUAUUAAAUACAGAAUCAUCUCUGAUCAAGUAAUAACCUGCAAAUGCAGUUGGUGUACACAGCAAAAGUAUAUGCAUAAGAAAAAAUCUAUGGAGCUUACAGUUAAGAAAACAGCAGAAUCUAACUUUAUGAAAUAUAUUUGUACGUUCAGAGAUGAACGAAACGUAAAUACAGAUGGAAGCUAUUAUACAUCGAGCAAAAAUUUCACUGUACUCGAAUGCUCAAAAAGUAAAAAUUAACCUUAACUAAGUCAAUACAGCUAGUUUUUCCACAUUCUGUAAUUAAUGCGCUGAAUAAUUUAACUAAACAUAGGAUUAGAUUAUUACAAUAUUUCCGUAAAAAUAUUCAAAUAAAAACGAUUUUACAAGUUACUUGAUGUGAACCAUACUUAAGACGAAGCAAAUGACACAUUCGUGUUGGUUGACCUUAACCAAAACGAGAUAUUAUUAUACUUAACCUCAAUUCUAGUAAAAUUUUCUCCGUGUCAGACGUCUCAGCUGAAUAUGGAAGUUUUUAUAAAGGAAAAAAAAGAUUUUGUAUUUAAUUAAUAUAAAUUUUUAAUUGUAGUUAGGAAUAGUCGAUGUGCAUGCCCUUUUCAAAGGCAAAGGCUCUUUGAAUGUUCGUGGCGCGUCUAUUGUGAUUAGAACAAUCGCAAGUGAUGAAUUGGCUUACAUGGACUAUUCAUCCGAAGGUGCCACUGAAAUAACCUCAUCAGAUGCCCGAAACAUGUUGUUUGAGCCAAUCGUAAUCCCGUUCAAUGAAUGGAGGGAUGCUAAAAUAAAAACUACUAUGCAUAUUCAAACUAUUGACAUUCUAGCGGCUGGCGAAAUUUGCCAAGGAGACAGAUUUUCAUUCAGUGGAUACACGUCGCUCGAGCUAUUGAAAGAUUGGGUCACAACUGUUUUUAUUCAUUCAACAAUACUGUGUCUAUUCCGGUUAUACCGAAUGCUGUUGAUGACACCCUGAAACAGUUAAUUUUGAAGAUAUGUGGAUACAAAAAACCAUUAUAUCCGGCUGUGAUUGUGAAAGGACGUGGUCUGUUUAUUUGGGGCGAUGGUCUAGAACAAACUAUGCGCGCUUGUGAGGCCAUCGUCACCAUGCUUAGCACAAGUUGAAGGCAAGAGCAUCCCGUUGAACUGCCGUCCAUUGAAAUCAUUUGCUGAUACUCAAUCGAAACUUCCAUCGAGGAAAUUUUAAUAUCAUUUAAAAACAAACAAAAAUCCAUUCCAUCGCACAAACUGUUGAUUUCAAUUCUUAAACACAUAUCGAAUAAAGCUAAAACAGCUAAUUGUUACUAAAAA
Long non-coding RNA from Sitodiplosis mosellana (orange wheat blossom midge), 1684 nucleotides. RefSeq lists it as uncharacterized. The record is from RefSeq and is a predicted model, not a curated record. NCBI's taxonomy places the organism in Eukaryota, Metazoa, Arthropoda, Insecta, Diptera, Cecidomyiidae. The transcript has 5 exons.